This 521-nucleotide ribosomal RNA is filed under the name uncultured bacterium. RNAcentral's name for it is "bacterial SSU rRNA". It matches the Rfam family "Archaeal small subunit ribosomal RNA", at positions 345 to 866 of the family's 1478-position model. The record is from RNAcentral.
AACCUCCGCAAUGUGAGAAAUCGCGACGGGGGGAUCCCAAGUGCCAUUCUUAACGGGAUGGCUUUUCAUUAGUGUAAAGAGCUUUUGGAAUAAGGGCUGGGCAAGACCGGUGCCAGCCGCCGCGGUAACACCGGCAGCUCUAGUGGUAGCAGUUUUUAUUGGGCCUAAAGCGUCCGUAGCCGGUUUAAUAAGUCUCUGGUGAAAUCCUGUAGCUUAACUGUGGGAAUUGCUGGAGAUACUAUUAGACUUGAGACCGGGAGAGGUUAGAGGUACUCCCAGGGUAGAGGUGAAAUUCUGUAAUCCUGGGAGGACCGUCUGUUGCGAAGGCGUCUAACUGGAACGGUUCUGACGGUGAGGGACGAAAGUUAGGGGCGCGAACCGGAUUAGAUACCCGGGUAGUCCUAACUGUAAACGAUGCGGACUUGGUGUUGGGGUGGCUUUGAGCUGCUCCAGUGCCGAAGGGAAGCUGUUAAGUCCGCCGCCUGGGAAGUACGGUCGCAAGACUGAAACUUAAAGGAAUU